AUCGGUGUAGAUUAAUUUGCACCAAUCAAAUAAUUUUUAUUCUUAUAUAAGAUAUAAGAUGUUGGAAUGAAUUGAAAUACGUGUGUAUAACAUCUAAUAGUGGUUGAUUCCAACAGAAUAGGUCAGUAUCUCAUACAGAUCAAUGCUUGAAUUUCAAUCAAUAUAGGUGUCGAUUUUACGUUCAAUGUUCAAUACUGUUUCGAACAAGAUUAUCUUUAGUAGAGAGAAAAUAUCAAAAUAAAAAGAAUAAUGACACAAAUUAAAUAUUUUGUUUACUAUAAUUUUAAAAAAUUUCUAUAAAGGGACUCAAAACAUUUAAAAAGGUACAACUGUACAAGUUGGAUCCAGGAAAAAUCCAAUUCAAUUUAAUACUAUAUACUGAUUCGGGCAUUUUCUGGUACACUAAACCUUUAAGAAGAAAUAUAUUAGAAGCAUCCAUAAAUAAAAAAAAGUUCUUUACAAUUUAGAAUUUGUGAGAUUUGCAUUCCAAAAUCAAAGAAAGAUGCCUCGUGGAACACUUGAAGUUGUUUUGAUCAGUGCCAAAGGCCUUGAGGACAAUGAUUUUCUCU
Molecule: long non-coding RNA, 569 nt
Filed under: Trifolium pratense (red clover)
Lineage: Eukaryota; Viridiplantae; Streptophyta; Magnoliopsida; Fabales; Fabaceae
Description: long non-coding RNA (TPRA_LNC007092)
Source: RNAcentral